CUGACAUCAGAUUUCACUGGAAGGCAAGCUUCCGCCUGCAGGAGGCAUUAUCUUAUGUUUCCUCCAGGAUCCCUUGACAAACACUAUGAGAAACUUAUGCAUUGCGACAGUAGAUUGUACGAAUUGAGCAAAAAACCUUUCCCUAGUCUGCAAUCUCCUUAUUUUGAGCCAAACAUUUGCAGUUUUACAAAUUUAUCUUUUGAUUCCCAUAUGAAUAGUCGAGAUGUCAACCUUGGAUUGCAGUUCAACUUUGGCAUUCCCUCUCCUUUGGUGGCUACCCAACAAGUUCAGUCUUUUGAGCAAGCACGCCAGCUAUCUUUUAAAGAAACAACUUCACCCGUAUCAGUUAUGGAUUUUUCGCAUUCAGAUGCGCACAUUAGCAACAAUGUAUUUGAGAGUACAAGGAUGACGGUAUGGGGACAAGGGAUAAACAAUAAUUUAGCAGCAGUAGAUACUUUUGCUCCGAGUAUUCCAUUCACCCAAGUGAAUCCAGCUGUUCCUUGCCAAGGCUACAGCAACCCAUUAACAUAUGGCCAGGGAGGUGAUCCUAGCCAUGUGAAUAAAAUGCUAAAUAAUCUUGCAGACCAUUUGUUUAAUGACACCAAGGCAGAGGGUUAUGAUGAGAAGUAUCACAUGGCAAGAGUGGAAUCACUGAAAGCGUUGGUCAAUCUCUCCCAAGAAGAG
RNAcentral lists this unclassified non-coding RNA (684 nucleotides) under Hevea brasiliensis (rubber tree). Lineage: Eukaryota; Viridiplantae; Streptophyta; Magnoliopsida; Malpighiales; Euphorbiaceae. The record is from RNAcentral.